RNAcentral lists this long non-coding RNA (586 nucleotides) under Felis catus (domestic cat). RNAcentral describes it as "lncRNA (ENSFCAG00000044883.2)". The record is from RNAcentral. Lineage: Eukaryota; Metazoa; Chordata; Mammalia; Carnivora; Felidae.
UAUGAAAAGCCCUGGACUCCUGUUUUAGUUUUUAAGACAUCAAGAGAUCAUACGGGAAUUGUUAGACAUGCCUUUCAGUACAAUCUUGUUUCUGGAGCCAUCAGGAGUCCCUUAAACAGCAGACGGGCUCCAUGUGACUCAGUGAAGGCACACAAGCUGCUGUCCAACACCAUUGCUUCUCUCUUGUGUUUAUUGUAUGCCAGUCUCACCACACUGUGCUCGGAGCAGUUUCCCAGGGAGUGUUCUGUGGGGUGCUCAUCAGAAGAAGAAACAGAGUUUUGUGAUCAAGUAAGAAAUGCUACUGUGAGCAGAGUCAGUGGGAUUCUUUCCCAAGGGAUGUCUUAGCCGCUAAAGCACUAAUGUGUAUUAUGAGGGUGGUAUGUUAAGUAGUGUUUUCCAAACUUUAUGUGAGCACAAACUUUUUAUUUGAAGAACAGCUGUUAGUAUCUGUGUCCAUUAUCAAAUUCUUGUCUUUCAGCUCAAAUAUGCUCUUUGUGGCCCUGAUUGUGAUACUGGAAUGGUUUUCCAUUGCCAGCCAGCGCAAGGUUAUGUUUAAUAGGUCGAGGGUGCUGGAGAAACUCUGGAG